This 75-nucleotide transfer RNA is filed under the name Candidatus Hatepunaea meridiana. Its description in RNAcentral is "tRNA-Asp". It matches the Rfam family "tRNA". From Rfam's summary of the family: Transfer RNA (tRNA) molecules are approximately 80 nucleotides in length. Their secondary structure includes four short double-helical elements and three loops (D, anti-codon, and T loops). Lineage: Bacteria; Pseudomonadati; Candidatus Electryoneota; Candidatus Electryoneia; Candidatus Hatepunaeales; Candidatus Hatepunaeaceae. The record is from RNAcentral.
GGGGAUGUAGCUCAGUUUGGUUAGAGUAUCGGCCUGUCACGCCGAGGGUCGCGAGUUCGAGUCUCGUCAUCCCCG